CAGUCGUACCUGCGGAUAAUCAGCCUUUAGGAUGCGAUUUUGUGGAGCGUGAGGAGCUAAUCGCCUUCAUGCCUAUAUAUUCGUGUACUUGGGGUGUACUUAUUCGUGAGGUAAGUUAACAUCAAUUUUGGUAUCAUAAAAUGGUUGGAGGAAUGUAGCUUCGAUCUCGUAUUGAAGUGUUAUAGCCUUCGGCAGAUGUGAUGAUCGAGAUUGGAGGAUUGCAAC
Molecule: ribosomal RNA, 225 nt
Filed under: Glomus sp. (unid)
Lineage: Eukaryota; Fungi; Glomeromycota; Glomeromycetes; Glomerales; Glomeraceae
Source: RNAcentral